GAUUAACAAGAGUGCACACACUGAAAUGUCUCGCCUUCUUUACUAAUCAUUGAUAUUAUGUUGAUAGUCUUAAGUAUAAAGCUUUAUUACAACUGUCACAUAAACUUAACAUUAACCAAGAUAGCUUAACAAAGACCAAUGAACCAUGAAAAUGAGGUCAAUGUCAGAUGAACCAUGCCAGGCAGACAUGUACAGCUAACAAAGCUUCCAUACAACAAAUAUAGUUGACCUACUACUUAUAGUUUAAGAAAAAUAGACCAAAACACAAAAACUUAACACUGUGCAAUGAACCGUGCAAUUGAGGUCAUGGUCAAAUAAAACCUGCGGGACUGACAUAUAAAUCAUAAUAUAUUCCCAUACACCAAAUAUAGUUGACCUUUGGCAUAUAAUAUUAGAUAAAAAGACCAAAACUUUAAAAACUUAACUUUGACCACUGAACCAUGAAAAUGAGGUCAAGGUCAGAUGACAUCUGCCCGCUAGACAUGUACACCUUAUAAUCAUUCCAUACAACAAAUAUAGUAGACCUAUUGCAUAAAGUAUGAGAAAAACAGACCAAAACACAACCAGGUGCUCCGCAGGGCGCAGCUUUAUACGACCGCAGAGGUUGAACCCUGAACAGUUGGGGCAAGUAUGGACAAAACAUUCAAGCGUGAUACAGCUCUGAAUUUGGAUUGUGAUCAAAUUUUUGACAUUACAUGGUUUUUUUUACACAAAACAAAUGUCAAGAUUUUACAAAUCAAUUAAAGAUUUCUUCUUCAAACUUAUUUAAAUCUAAAAUUAAAUAGUUGACACAGCAUAGGUUUCUGACACAGAAUGAAUGUGGUCUAAUGAACUUAAAAGUUUUUUUUGCCUUUGAGCAAUUCACUAUGCUGUUGAAUAUUAAUCCUCUCAAAAAAAAUGUUUGAAGAAAUUUUCUUUUUAUUUAUGAAAUCUGAAAUGAGAAAAAUUUAAACCCACCCCCCCCCCCCCUUUUUUCACAUCCCCGUUUCCCUUUUUCCAAACUGAUAUCAAUUCAAAUUUCUAAUGGAGUUUGCAACAAUAACUACUCUUUUAAAUACAUCAUAAAAUAUUAAAAUGUAAAAUAAAGUGCUUG
RNAcentral lists this long non-coding RNA (1093 nucleotides) under Mytilus galloprovincialis (Mediterranean mussel). The record is from RNAcentral. Lineage: Eukaryota; Metazoa; Mollusca; Bivalvia; Mytilida; Mytilidae.